GGGGACGUAGCUCAGCUGGGAGAGCGCCUGCUUUGCAAGCAGGAGGUCAGGGGUUCGAAUCCCC
RNAcentral lists this transfer RNA (64 nucleotides) under Thermotoga petrophila. RNAcentral describes it as "transfer RNA-Ala". It matches the Rfam family "tRNA", at positions 1 to 62 of the family's 71-position model. From Rfam's summary of the family: Transfer RNA (tRNA) molecules are approximately 80 nucleotides in length. Their secondary structure includes four short double-helical elements and three loops (D, anti-codon, and T loops). Further hydrogen bonds mediate the characteristic L-shaped molecular structure. tRNAs have two regions of fundamental functional importance: the anti-codon, which is responsible for specific mRNA codon recognition, and the 3' end, to which the tRNAs corresponding amino acid is attached (by aminoacyl-tRNA synthetases). tRNAs cope with the degeneracy of the genetic code in two manners: having more than one tRNA (with a specific anti-codon) for a particular amino acid; and 'wobble' base-pairing, i.e. permitting non-standard base-pairing at the 3rd anti-codon position. Lineage: Bacteria; Thermotogati; Thermotogota; Thermotogae; Thermotogales; Thermotogaceae. The record is from RNAcentral.